Molecule: non-coding RNA, 1274 nt
Organism: Kogia breviceps (pygmy sperm whale)
Lineage: Eukaryota; Metazoa; Chordata; Mammalia; Artiodactyla; Physeteridae
Source: RefSeq, a predicted model, not a curated record
CUGCUUUGCCUUAGAAGGUACGUUGCAUCGCAUUCAGAAGAAGCCCGGGACCGAGUCUGCAUCAGGCUUGUUUAACCCUCACAACAGACCUAUGAAGAAGGCACUAUUAUCACCAUCCCCAUUUUACAGAUGAGGAAAUCAAGUCACGGAGAGGGGGUCUUUCUUACCAUAAUUUCCUCUUCCUGGUCACUUGGGAAGAGGACGCCAAAGAAGAUCUCAAGAUCAACUGCUGAUUUCUCAUCAAGUCGACUGGAAACCCAAGACCUUAACCCAGAUCCACAAAUAUGAGAAGGAACCACUUAACCCAGAGAGUUUUGGGGGAAUCAGAGCCUGCUAUUAUAGGAGGGAACUCAUGGAGGACAGGACAGAAACUUGCAUUCAAAUCAAGAGACAAACUUUGGCGUCAUUCAUUCAUUCCAAAAAAUCGAGCUCCUGCUACGUGGCCAUGUGCAGGCUCUGGGAACACCGUGGUGAGUGGAAUUUGUACCUGGUCCCUGCCUUCGUGGGGCUUAGACUCCAAGAGCCCUGACCUAGUCUACUAAGGUGUGAAGUGGUCAGGGAAGUUUGCCAGAAGGAAUUGGCAUUUGGGCAGAGUUCCAAAAGAUGAGCAGGUGGAGGGAAGAGGAUGUGCAAAGUCCUUGCGGCAGGAAGAAAGCAGUGGCUUUGAGGGGGUGGAAGAGGGCAAGACUGGAGGACUGAGCAUGAGGAGCGGACAGUCCAGGGUGCGGCUGGACAGAUGGCAGGGCCUCAUGGGCCCAGGAGCAGUGGGAGCCACUGAGGGGGCUUUUCAGGCGAGCUGGUGACGGGCACUACGGGGGCUGGUUAGAGGCUCUCUGGUGUAAAAUGGACUGAAAGAGCAGGACUGAAUUCCAAGGGCUGAUUUCUGAGGGGACAGCUGCAGGAACCCAAGUGAAAAAUGCUGCUGGCUUGUACUCAGGUGCUGGGGGUAGAGAAGGAAAGAUGUGGGUGGACCAUGAUUUAUACGUGAGGGGAAGUGAUCCAACUUGGGGAUUGUUAGUGCAGAAGAGGGAGGACUCCAAAUGCUUUGCCAGUGACUGUCUUGCUGAAUGAGAUGGCAGUGGUGCUAUUCAUGGAGCACAGGGGGGACGUUUUUGGGAGGAAAAGCCUGAGGGUGGUGCCCUGAGACAGCUGAGUGGGCUGGUGGCUGGGGCUUUGGGUUAAAUACCCUGCUGCAAUCAGUGCUGUGUUAGCUAAAAACUGAGUCACAUGGUACAUCUCUUCUUAAGGGACUGAAUGUUGGAAUUUACAAAAUG